RNAcentral lists this ribosomal RNA (433 nucleotides) under uncultured bacterium. Its description in RNAcentral is "partial 16S ribosomal RNA". It matches the Rfam family "Bacterial small subunit ribosomal RNA", at positions 29 to 507 of the family's 1533-position model. The record is from RNAcentral.
AACGAACGCUGGCGGCAUGCCUAACACAUGCAAGUCGAACGAGCCCUUCGGGUCUAGUGGCGCACGGGUGCGUAACGCGUGGGAACCUGCCCUUAGGUUCGGAAUAACUCCCCGAAAGGGGUGCUAAUACCGGAUAAUGUCUUCGGACCAAAGAUUUAUCGACUUUGGAUGGGCCCGCGUUGGAUUAGCUAGUUGGUAGGGUAAAAGCCUACCAAGGCGACGAUCCAUAGCUGGUCUGAGAGGAUGAUCAGCCACACUGGGACUGAGACACGGCCCAGAAUCCUACGGGAGGCAGCAGUGGGGAAUAUUGGACAAUGGGCGAAAGCAUGAUCCAGCAAUGCCGCGUGAGUGAUGAAGGCCUUAGGGUUGUAAAGCUCUUUUACCCGGGAUGAUAAUGACAGUACCGGGAGAAUAAGCUCCGGCUAACUCCGUG